RNAcentral lists this ribosomal RNA (253 nucleotides) under uncultured bacterium. RNAcentral describes it as "partial 16S ribosomal RNA". It matches the Rfam family "Bacterial small subunit ribosomal RNA", at positions 524 to 776 of the family's 1533-position model. The record is from RNAcentral.
UACAGAGGUCUCAAGCGUUGUUCGGAUUCAUUGGGCGUAAAGCGCGUGUAGGCGGCUACGUGUGUCGGGCGUGAAAUCCCAUGGCUCAACCAUGGAAGUGCACCCGAAACUGCGUAGCUAGAGUCCUGGAGAGGAAGGUGGAAUGCUUGGUGUAGAGGUGAAAUUCGUAGAUAUCAAGCGGAACACCGGUGGCGAAGGCGGCCUUCUGGACAGUGACUGACGCUGAGACGCGAAAGCGUGGGGAGCAAACAGG